CCCUUAGAUGUCCUGGGCCGCACGCGCGCUACACUGAGUGUCUGAGAUAUGAGGCAUGCCUGGUCCGGCAAGGUCUAGGUAAUCACGAAAAGGCACAUCAUGCUUGGGAUUGAUUAUUGCAAAUUUUAAUCAUGAACGAGGAAUUCCUAGUAAACGCAGAUCAUCAAUCUGCAUUGAUUACGUCCCUGCCCUUUGUACACACCGCCCGUCGCACCUACCGAUUGGAUGGUCCGGUGAAGCCUCGGGAUUGUGGUUCUUGCCGCUUUAUUGUGGCGUGACCGCGAGAACUUGUCUAAACCUUAUCAUCUAGAGGAAGGUGAAGUCGUAACA
RNAcentral lists this ribosomal RNA (330 nucleotides) under uncultured eukaryote. RNAcentral's name for it is "partial 18S ribosomal RNA". It matches the Rfam family "Eukaryotic small subunit ribosomal RNA", at positions 1470 to 1796 of the family's 1831-position model. The record is from RNAcentral.